This 490-nucleotide ribosomal RNA is filed under the name uncultured bacterium. Its description in RNAcentral is "partial 16S ribosomal RNA". It matches the Rfam family "Bacterial small subunit ribosomal RNA", at positions 30 to 507 of the family's 1533-position model. The record is from RNAcentral.
AUUGAACGCUGGCGGCAGGCCUAACACAUGCAAGUCGAACGGUAACAGGAAGCAGCUUGCUGCUUUGCUGACGAGUGGCGGACGGGUGAGUAAUGUCUGGGAAACUGCCUGAUGGAGGGGGAUAACUACUGGAAACGGUAGCUAAUACCGCAUAACGUCGCAAGACCAAAGAGGGGGACCUUCGGGCCUCUUGCCAUCGGAUGUGCCCAGAUGGGAUUAGCUAGUAGGUGGGGUAACGGCUCACCUAGGCGACGAUCCCUAGCUGGUCUGAGAGGAUGACCAGCCACACUGGAACUGAGACACGGUCCAGACUCCUACGGGAGGCAGCAGUGGGGAAUAUUGCACAAUGGGCGCAAGCCUGAUGCAGCCAUGCCGCGUGUAUGAAGAAGGCCUUCGGGUUGUAAAGUACUUUCAGCGGGGAGGAAGGGAGUAAAGUUAAUACCUUUGCUCAUUGACGUUACUCGCAGAAGAAGCACCGGCUAACUCCGUG